Molecule: ribosomal RNA, 253 nt
Filed under: uncultured bacterium
Lineage: Bacteria
Description: partial 16S ribosomal RNA
Rfam family: Bacterial small subunit ribosomal RNA
Source: RNAcentral
UACGGGGGGAGCAAGCGUUGUUCGGAUUUACUGGGCGUAAAGGGCUCGUAGGUGGCCAACUAAGUCAGACGUGAAAUCCCCAGGCUCAACUUGGGAACUGCGUCUGAUACUGGAUGGCUUGAAUUCGGGAGAGGGAUGCAGAAUUCCAGGUGUAGCGGUGAAAUGCGUAGAUAUCUGGAGGAAUACCGGUGGCGAAGGCGGCAUCCUGGACCGAUAUUGACACUGAGGAGCGAAAGCCAGGGGAGCAAACGGG